Molecule: ribosomal RNA, 303 nt
Filed under: uncultured bacterium
Lineage: Bacteria
Description: partial 16S ribosomal RNA
Rfam family: Bacterial small subunit ribosomal RNA
Source: RNAcentral
AGCAGUAGCCGCGGUAAUACGUAGGUGACGAGCGUUGUCCGGAAUUAUUGGGCGCAAAGGGAGCGCAGGCGGUUGGAAUAGUCUGAUGUGAAAGCCCACGGCUUAACCGUGGAAGGUCAUUGGAAACUGUCCAACUUGAAUGCAGAAGAGGAAAGUGGAAUUCCAUGUGUAGCGGUGAAAUGCGUAGAUAUAUGGAGGAACACCAGUGGCGAAGGCGACUUUCUGGUCUGUAAUUGACGCUGAGGCUCGAAAGCGUGGGUAGCGAACAGGAUUAGAUACCCGCGUAGUCCCUGUCUCUUAUAC